This is a non-coding RNA of Biomphalaria pfeifferi, 215 nucleotides long. Lineage: Eukaryota; Metazoa; Mollusca; Gastropoda; Planorbidae. The record is from the annotation of a GenBank genome assembly.
CAGUAAAAUGUAUUAAUAUCUGUGAAGUGUUCAAAAUAACAUUUAGAUAUAUGUUUUUGAGACUCUAAAUUGCAAAACAGAAAGGCUUAACAUUAAAAUUAAUACAAUAUUCCUAAAAGAUUUAAUCAACAAAUCUUUUUAAUAAUUAUCCACUUCAGAUACUAGAAACGUCGGCUACAAUUUAUUAUCAUAUAUUUAAAAUUACUUUGCAUUUC